Molecule: non-coding RNA, 22 nt
Filed under: Rattus norvegicus (Norway rat)
Lineage: Eukaryota; Metazoa; Chordata; Mammalia; Rodentia; Muridae
Source: RNAcentral
UAAGAGAAUCUGUCUUGAGCCA